This 87-nucleotide transfer RNA is filed under the name Acidobacteriota bacterium. Its description in RNAcentral is "Acidobacteria bacterium (activated sludge metagenome) tRNA-Leu". It matches the Rfam family "tRNA". From Rfam's summary of the family: Transfer RNA (tRNA) molecules are approximately 80 nucleotides in length. Their secondary structure includes four short double-helical elements and three loops (D, anti-codon, and T loops). RNAcentral also lists the same sequence under 2 other names. The record is from RNAcentral. Lineage: Bacteria; Pseudomonadati; Acidobacteriota.
GCGGAGAUGGCGGAAUUGGCAGACGCACUAGCUUGAGGUGCUAGCGGGAGCAAUCUCGUGCAGGUUCAAGUCCUGUUCUCCGCACCA